UACGGAGGAUCCAAGCGUUAUCCGGAUUUAUUGGGUUUAAAGGGUGCGUAGGCGGCCUGUUAAGUCAGGGGUGAAAGACGGUAGCUCAACUAUCGCAGUGCCCUUGAUACUGAUGGGCUUGAAUGGACUUGAGGUAGGCGGAAUGAGACAAGUAGCGGUGAAAUGCAUAGAUAUGUCUCAGAACACCGAUUGCGAAGGCAGCUUACUAUGGUCUUAUUGACGCUGAGGCACGAAAGCGUGGGGAUCAAACAGG
RNAcentral lists this ribosomal RNA (253 nucleotides) under uncultured bacterium. RNAcentral describes it as "partial 16S ribosomal RNA". It matches the Rfam family "Bacterial small subunit ribosomal RNA", at positions 524 to 776 of the family's 1533-position model. The record is from RNAcentral.